GAAGGGAGGGCUCCUUCCUGCUUCCGGACCAUGUUGGAUGUGAGUCUAGAUGCGAGACAUCUAUUAUAGAGAUAAUAGAAGAGGUUAGCGGAACCAAGGAUGGUUCACUUUUCUUCUUUAGAAAUACCAUUAAUGCUGAUCGUCUUCGCCGCCGCCUGCGUGCUCGCCUUCGCGCCCGGCCCGGCCUCGCCCCGGUCUUCGCCUCCGCCUCGGCCGCAGAGCUUGCCCCCUCCCCACCCGCAGACAAUGUCCGAGUCCAAGAACGGCCCCGAGUAUGCUUCGUUUUUCGCCGUCAUGGCAGCCUCGGCCGCCAUGGUCUUCAGCGCCCCGCGCGCUGCCUAUGGCACGGUCAAGACCGGUGCCGGCAUCGCGGCCAUGUCUGUCAUGCGGCCGGAGCUGAUCAUGAAGUCCAUCAUCCCGGUGGUCACGGCUGGCAUCAUCGCCAUCUAUGGCCUGGUGGUGACAGUCCUCAUCGCCAGCUCCCCGAAUGACGACAUCAGCCUCUACAGGAGCUGCCUCCAGCUAGCGCCGGCCUGAGCGUGGGCCUGAGCGGCCUGGCAGCCGGCUUUGCCAUAGACAUCGUGGGGGACGCCGGUGUGCGAGCCACGGCCCAGCAGCCCCGACUAUUCAUGGGCAUGAUCCUGAUCCUCAUCUUCCCCGAGGUGCUCGGCCUGUACGGUCUCGUCGUUGCCCUCAUCCUCUCCACAGAGUAGCCCCUCUCCGAGCCCACCAGCCACCGAAUAUGAUGUAAAAACCACCCCUCCUCAUUCCAGAACGAAGAGCCUGACACACACGCACGGGACCGCGGCCCCCAGUAGUUGAUCUUGUACAUGCGCAGCGCAGCGUCCUAGUGCCGGUUGUCUGUUGCCCUGGCCUUGCCCCCACCCCACUCCCCACGCCGCCCCGUGCCAUGGACAUCUGGGUCCACUCAUCGCCCCUCCAGGCCCCCGGUGCCCCACCCCCUAGAGUGCUCUGUGUAUUCGGAUGACUUAGAGUUGUCAUUUCUCUUCACUGGAUGUUUAUUUAUAAAGAUCUGGCCUGUUCCCGCGUCUGCGGAGAGGCCCUGGUCUCCCAGCUGUCUAUAACCUUAGCUAGAGUGUGGCCUUGUGGGCUCCUGUUGCUGAGACCUCCUGGAUGGAGCUGCCCUCGCCACCGGGCCCUUGGCCCUGCACGGAGCUCUGUCCAAUAAAGUUCUCGGAUUUGGGGG
Molecule: RNA transcript, 1207 nt
Organism: Pan troglodytes (chimpanzee)
Lineage: Eukaryota; Metazoa; Chordata; Mammalia; Primates; Hominidae
Gene name: V-type proton ATPase 16 kDa proteolipid subunit c-like
Exons: 1
Source: RefSeq, a predicted model, not a curated record